GACGAACGCUGGCGGCGUGCUUAACACAUGCAAGUCGAGCGAUGAAGUUCCUUCGGGAAUGGAUUAGCGGCGGACGGGUGAGUAACACGUGGGUAACCUGCCUCAUAGAGGGGAAUAGCCUUUCGAAAGGAAGAUUAAUACCGCAUAAGAUUGUAGUAUCGCAUGAUACAGCAAUUAAAGGAGUAAUCCGCUAUGAGAUGGACCCGCGUCGCAUUAGCUAGUUGGUGAGGUAACGGCUCACCGAGGCGACGAUGCGUAGCCGACCUGAGAGGGUGAUCGGCCACAUUGGGACUGAGACACGGCCCAGACUCCUACGGGAGGCAGGAGUGAGGAAUCUUCCGCAAUGGGCGAAAGCCUGACGGAGCGACACCGCGUGAAGGAUGCAGCCGGUUUCCGGUGUAAACUUCUGUUCUGAGGGACGAAAUUUUUGACGGUACCUCAGGAGAAAGCAUCGGCUAAUUCUGUGCCAGCAGCCGCGGUAA
RNAcentral lists this ribosomal RNA (482 nucleotides) under uncultured bacterium. Its description in RNAcentral is "partial 16S ribosomal RNA". It matches the Rfam family "Bacterial small subunit ribosomal RNA", at positions 28 to 523 of the family's 1533-position model. The record is from RNAcentral.